GAGUUUCUGGUAUAUAUUUCGAACUUCUUAUAGCCCCUCACACCAAUCAAGCACAAUACAUCGGGGCCUGAGAAGGCUUGUAAAGGAAUGCUCUGACAUGACGGGAAUACCCAGACGGGAGAUCGUAUGUGAACUUGACACCAGAGUGGGCAUCCCCUCGCCGACUACAAUGCUCAUGGAAGCUGCUGAUAGGCCUCGCCAGGCACGAAUCCCAUCGGUCGCCCUCUGGCAUCGUCUCGGCCACCGUGUAGACACCUCUGGAGUUUGUGAAUGCUUGAUAGUUGAGAACCUCGCCAGAUUUAGUUAUACAGAGAACAGCCACUUCAGCACCUUCUAAUGGGUGAUCCUCGGGGCCGAUGGAGGAAUCCCCACACACAUCGCAGACGAUCUUGCCACGGAUCUCGCCGGUCCAGGCCUCUGCUGCGCAGAUGAGGGACAGCAGCAGCAGUAGCCCACAGAUCGCCCUGCCGCCGAUGA
This 477-nucleotide unclassified non-coding RNA is filed under the name Hevea brasiliensis (rubber tree). The record is from RNAcentral. Lineage: Eukaryota; Viridiplantae; Streptophyta; Magnoliopsida; Malpighiales; Euphorbiaceae.